Long non-coding RNA from Zingiber officinale, 207 nucleotides. RefSeq lists it as uncharacterized. The transcript has 3 exons. The record is from RefSeq and is a predicted model, not a curated record. Lineage: Eukaryota; Viridiplantae; Streptophyta; Magnoliopsida; Zingiberales; Zingiberaceae.
GGUUCAUGAAAGUUAAAUUUUAAGAGUGUAGUUAGGGAUUGCAUGUCCAUUUUGCUUAGGAGGUCUUCUCUGAACCUAAAUGGAAGUUGGAGAUAAUUUUGCUGUACUUUUCAAAGUAUUUAAUCAAGAGAUGGCGCGUUGUGGCGACAACGACAUUAGUGAUUGAUGGGGGGCGACGGGUGGCAAGCGGCCGACGACUGAAGGAGG